AAUUCAAGAAAGGCCGCGGGGCUCUGCCCCAGGGGAGGCCCGGCCAGGGUGCAGCCCACAGGCCACGCGCCUCCAGGGCCGGCUCUCUGCUCCUCCUGGCAGGACAGCUGUGCCCGGGGCCACGCUCCCCUUUUCCACAGAAACGUGGCCCCUCGGGAGAGCCACCACUGGCAGGCACGCGCCAGCUGCCUGGCUCAGUCCAGGCCCCAGGAUGACCUGAGGACCCCACGGACAGCUCUCAGUCCCCCUCCAACCCCGGGAGGAGAGGCCAGGGACAGCCAGGCCCAGCAGGGCAGGCAGCUGGCACUCGGGCCGGGAGUGGGCAUCACACACACCCACUGGGUUGCCUGGGUGCUCCCCGCACCUUCUCCACGGCUCCCCAUCCCAUGUCACCCUGGGGGGAGGCCCGAGGCUGGCAGGGAGGUCAGGAGGCCUCUCAGGGACCGCGUGAGGGCAGGGAAGCGUCUGCCCAGUGCCGGCCCGGUGACAGGCUCGGCUCCGGGCAAAGCUUCCUGGCCUACAGCCGCCUCACGCCCCAGCCCCUACACGGGGGCUGUGGGGCCCCGGCCUGACACGGAGCUGGUGCAGCAGGGCCGAGGGCAGAGGCUGCCGGGCUGGAGGUCAGAAGGCCUCCUGUGGGUGCUGCCAAGACAAGGGCCCCGACCCACGGCCCAGCCCCCUGGGUCGGGUGCCCCUUCCGUGGGUGGCUGGGUUUCUCUGCCCGUCUGCAGGGUUCCCUCCGUCCCCACGCGGACCAGGGAGCCUCGGCCGGGACCACACAGCGCGCCCUGGAACCCACGUUUGCAGCAGGGGCCGCGGAGCCCAACGGCGGGACGUCAGGCUGGGAGGGCUGCUCACGCGCGUGGCACCUGCUGUCAGGUCGGUCCCUGGCUCUCGGGGUUAAACCAGAAUGUAAACGGAGUGGGGGCAGCGUGCGGGACGGUGCCAAAAGCCGUCAUAGUUGGACCUUUGAUUCACAAGAGACCCGGCCACGAGUGUCACUCGUGCAAAGCCCAGGAAAUACUCUUCUUUUUUUUUUUUUUUUUUGCUUUGUAG
This 1056-nucleotide long non-coding RNA is filed under the name Sus scrofa (pig). RNAcentral describes it as "lncRNA (ENSSSCG00070014642.1)". The record is from RNAcentral. Lineage: Eukaryota; Metazoa; Chordata; Mammalia; Artiodactyla; Suidae.